Long non-coding RNA from Mangifera indica (mango), 441 nucleotides. RefSeq lists it as uncharacterized. The transcript has 2 exons. Lineage: Eukaryota; Viridiplantae; Streptophyta; Magnoliopsida; Sapindales; Anacardiaceae. The record is from RefSeq and is a predicted model, not a curated record.
GACCCUGUCCUUAAACAUGAGCAAAAGAAGCCAGAUGCGGCCUCAUCAACCGAGUAGAAUGAAGGGAGAGUGAAUGGUCGGAUGUUUAAUGUGGUUCAAGUUUUUUUUAUGUCUCUAUUUGUCAUGAAUUUUUUUUAAGCUUCUGGUUAGACAUGAAGUAUGAGUUUAAUAAUGCUGAGAUAAUGACCUGAAUUUUUUAAUUUCCAAAGUGCAAGGCUAUUGAUAUUGAAUCUCAUAAUAGAAGCUACAUGCCUCCAAUACAUAACUAAGGAGACCUAUGUUAAAUAAACCAAUGAAAUGUUUCCACUAGACUUUCAAGAAUGGUUGUCAAGAUAAAUUUAUGUUUGAAACAGUGACAGAAGUUUACUUGCUCUGUAUUAUACAUCACGAGUCUAAAUUCUAGUAAUAUAUUUUCAAUCGCUCCCUGGAUUUGACAUUACA